RNAcentral lists this long non-coding RNA (1411 nucleotides) under Calidris pygmaea (Spoon-billed sandpiper). RNAcentral's name for it is "lncRNA (ENSCPGG00000008135.1)". Lineage: Eukaryota; Metazoa; Chordata; Aves; Charadriiformes; Scolopacidae. The record is from RNAcentral.
AUUCCUUUCCCUGCUCCCCCGUCUCUUUCCUUAGGUGUUUUUUAGCAUUAUUAUUUGUUUUGGGAGGGGAAAAUCAUCUUCGCUUCAGUCUCUUGCUAGAGGUCCAGACUGCUUACGUCUGAGCGCCCCUUAUCAUUUCAGUGAAUGGCAAUUGCAGCCUUGGUGCUGUUAUAGCAAUGAAGCUACAGACGUCAUUGCCUCCUGUUGGACGUGAGAUGUGUCCAAGCAUCAGCCCCUUUUGCUUAAGAAAAACUCUUUAACUUCCACGCAGCCGACAGGCAGGCUUUUCUAAGAUCCUGUGGACCCAACAUUGUACCGAUAGAGUUAUAUCUUUUUAUUUAUAUACACAUGCACACAUACACAGGUGUGCACGUGUAUGUGUGUUUGUACGUAUGUAUAUAGAGAGACAGAAAUAGAUAAAUUAAAGCCGCAGCUAUAUGGCAAGCUCCUCUAAAAUUUCCUGCUCGUCAGAGUAGCUCUCUGCAUCGUUUUGUUAAAUACAGCCCGGCGGGAAAGCCAUCAGCAAUCCAUUUCGGGUAACAAGGAAGACUUGUUGAACACCUUGUUCUCCAGACCCCGGGAAGAUGCUGGGCUGCUGGAGCGUGGAAGAGCCAGGAUUGUGCCCUGAACUUCACCCACUUGGCAGCCGCUAUUCCUAAACCAUUUCCCCUCUCCUCCCCUGCCUCUUUUGCCUCCCGGACUGAGAAUCUGCUCUUUAAAGUUGAUCUGAAGGGGAAAGCAGAGACGAGCUUGUGCAUAGUUUGGAGGGGUAAAAGUUCAGGGCCAGUACAGAGUCUAUAUAGAAAAAUAGAGCCUUCGCAUCAGAUUUACCGUAUGGGCUGCCUAAAGUAACUAUUUUGAAGUCAUCUUUGGAAAGCUAGAGCCUGAUAUGCUCAUCCUGGUUUCUGUCACCUUCUCCAAAGGAAGGGAAGGACAAACAGGGAAGUUUUGCCCACUUGCUCCCUGCCAGGUGCGCUGAUGGAGUCUGCUGAUGGUGUGAGCUAGCCUCGUCUCUCAGACGACUACAUGGUAUCCUGAAAAUGGAUCCCUAGAUGAGAACACUUGACAGGACUGUAAACGUGACUGUAGAGUGAAGGCAUCCAAGAAAGUUUUCGAGCGACAGAUAUAGGUUGCUGUGGUCUCUUAACCAAGAAAAGAAGUAAAGCUGGGUUUCUAUGUUUCACUGUUCUGAGUUGAAUGCCUAAGUUACUUUCUCAAUACAUAAGUGCAUUUAAAAAGUUCCAGGGUUCUUCAGAAGCUUUGUAAUUUCAAACUGUUGUAUAUAAACACAAAGGCAUUUAUCAAGUGUAUCUAUGAAAGGUAAAAACCCUAUUGAAGCAAAACCAAAGAAACUACAAGCCAGAAUUAGUAAAUUAUAUGAAUGUUGACCUCUGUACGUGUUAUAUCCCAC